Molecule: ribosomal RNA, 492 nt
Filed under: uncultured bacterium
Lineage: Bacteria
Description: partial 16S ribosomal RNA
Rfam family: Bacterial small subunit ribosomal RNA
Source: RNAcentral
AUUGAACGCUGGCGGCAUGCUUUACACAUGCAAGUCGAACGGUAACAGGCCUUCGGGUGCUGACGAGUGGCGCACGGGUGAGUAAUGCAUCGGAACGUGCCCAGAGGUGGGGGAUAACGCAGCGAAAGCUGUGCUAAUACCGCAUGUGAUCUGAGGAUGAAAGCGGGGGACCAGGCAGCAAUGUUUGGCCUCACGCCUUUGGAGCGGCCGAUGUCAGAUUAGGUAGUUGGUGGGGUAAAGGCCUACCAAGCCGACGAUCUGUAGCUGGUCUGAGAGGACGACCAGCCACACUGGGACUGAGACACGGCCCAGACUCCUACGGGAGGCAGCAGUGGGGAAUUUUGGACAAUGGGCGCAAGCCUGAUCCAGCAAUGCCGCGUGCGGGAAGAAGGCCUUCGGGUUGUAAACCGCUUUUGUACGGAACGAAAAGGCUCUGGCUAAUACCUGGGGCUGAUGACGGUACCGUAAGAAUAAGCACCGGCUAACUACGUG